CCUACGGGAGGCAGCAGUGGGGAAUAUUGGACAAUGGGCGCAAGCCUGAUCCAGCCAUGCCGCGUGUGUGAAGAAGGCCUUCGGGUUGUAAAGCACUUUUAUCCGGAAAGAAAAGCUUUGGGUUAAUACCCUGAAGUCAUGACGGUACCGGAAGAAUAAGCACCGGCUAACUUCGUGCCAGCAGCCGCGGUAAUACGAAGGGUGCAAGCGUUACUCGGAAUUACUGGGCGUAAAGCGUGCGUAGGUGGUUUGUUAAGUCUGAUGUGAAAGCCCUAGGCUCAACCUGGGAAUUGCAUUGGAUACUGGCAGGCUAGAGUGCGGUAGAGGAUAGUGGAAUUCCCGGUGUAGCAGUGAAAUGCGUAGAGAUCGGGAGGAACAUCUGUGGCGAAGGCGACUAUCUGGGCCAGCACUGACACUGAGGCACGAAAGCGUGGGGAGCAAACAGGAUUAGAUACCCUGGUAGUCCACGCCCUAAACGAUGCGAACUGGAUGUUGGGUGCAACUAGGCACUCAGUAUCGAAGCUAACGCGUUAAGUUCGCCGCCUGGGGAGUACGGUCGCAAGACUGAAACUUAAAUGAAUUGACGG
RNAcentral lists this ribosomal RNA (587 nucleotides) under uncultured bacterium. Its description in RNAcentral is "bacterial SSU rRNA". It matches the Rfam family "Bacterial small subunit ribosomal RNA", at positions 338 to 916 of the family's 1533-position model. The record is from RNAcentral.